CGAUUGUAGUCAUAUGCUUGUCUCAAAGACUAAGCCAUGCAUGUAUAAGUAUAAGAAUCUAUACGACGAGACUGCGAACGGCUCAAUGCACAGUGAUCACCCGCAUGAUGAAAACCAAUUACAUGGAUAACCGUGGUAAUUCUAGAGCUAAUACAUGCUUCCAUCUUCGGAUGGGGUGCUUUAUUAGAUUCAACCAGCGAGGCUAUCUCUGCGAGGGGGUAGUUUUUUAUGGCGAGUCAUGAUAACUGACACGAUCGUAUGACCUCGAGUCGACGACGCAUCAUACGAAACACUGGCCUAUCAACUUUCGAUGGUAGGAUAGGGGCCUACCAUGGUGAUGACGGGAGCGGGGAAUUAGGGUUCGAUUCCGGAGAGGGAGCCUGAGAAACGGCUACCACAUCCAAGGAAGGCAGCAGGCGCGCAAAUUACCCCAUCCCGACACGGGGAGGUAGUGACAAGAAAUACCAGAGCAGGGCUCAAAGAGUGCUGCGAUUGGCAUGAGGCGCCAGUAAAGAGGGCCACGAGGAACGAUUGGAGGGCAAGUCUGGUA
This 550-nucleotide ribosomal RNA is filed under the name uncultured eukaryote. Its description in RNAcentral is "bacterial SSU rRNA". It matches the Rfam family "Eukaryotic small subunit ribosomal RNA", at positions 21 to 566 of the family's 1831-position model. The record is from RNAcentral.